Non-coding RNA from Callithrix jacchus (white-tufted-ear marmoset), 3735 nucleotides. Lineage: Eukaryota; Metazoa; Chordata; Mammalia; Primates; Cebidae. The record is from RefSeq and is a predicted model, not a curated record.
CGCGCCGGCCUCGGGAGCCCGCUCUCUUCGUAGGUGCGGGUCCCUGUCCUCCCUGUCCUGCUUCGCCGCAGAGCAGAACGUGUGUGCUUUAAGGGCAGAGACAUCUGAAGAAGAUGCCUUGCCUUGCUCUCUGGAGGGGUCUGAUACAAUCUCUGCACAAUAUAAAAAGCACACAGGGGCCGGACGCGGUGGCUCACUCCUGUAAUCCCAGCACUUUGGGAGGCUGAGGUGGGUGGAUCACGAGGUCAAGAGAUCGAGACCAUCCUGGUCAACGUGGUAAAACCCCAUCUCUACUAAAAAUACAAAAAAUUAGCUGGGCAGCUACUCAGGAGGCUGAGGCAGGAGAAUUGCUUGAAUCCAGGAGGUGGAGGUUGCGGUGAGCCGAGAUCCCGCCAUUGCACUCCAGCCUGGGUAACGAGCGAAACUCCGUCUCAAAAAAAAAAAAAAAGAAAAAAAGCACACAGGUUACCUAUAUGGUCACUGGCUUAACAUUACCAAAACUCAUCAAACUGUAUACUUAAUGCUUGUACAUUUUAUUGUAUGUAAAUUAUACUGCAGUAAAGUUGAUAAAACAGAGAUCUUUGAAAAUAGAUGGUACCCAUUUGCUACCUGAACAAACACCACAACCACACAGAGGGAGAUGUUAUGAUCCCAUUUAACAGAUAAGCUGGUCCAGGCGCGGUGGCUCAUACCUGUAAUCCCAGCAUUUUGGGAGGCUGAGGAGGGCAGAUCACCUGAGAUCAGGAGUUCAAGACCAGUCUGGCCAACAUGGCUAAACAAGGUCUCUACAAAAAUAUAAAAAUUAGCUGGGCAUGAUGGCAGGUCCCUAUAAUCCCAGCUACUUGGGAGGCUGAGGCAAGAGAAUCACUUGAACGCAGGAGGCAGAGGCUGCAAUGAGCCAAGAUUGUGCCAUUGCAUUCCAGCCUGGGUGACAGAGUGAGACUCUGUCUUAAAAACAAACAAACCAAAACAGACAAUCUGGUGGAUAAGGUGGUCUUUGUCCAUUUGGGCUGCUAGACAACCAUAGACUGAGUGACUUAUAAACAUCAUAAAUUUUUUUCUCACAGUUUUAGUGGCUGGGAAGUUCAAGGCACUGUAAGAUUCAUUGGUGAGGGUUCACUUCCUCAUUGACAGCUGUCUCGCUACUGUAAUCUCACUUGGUGGAAGGGCUAACUAGUUUUUUCCACCCGUCUCCUUCAUAAAGGCAUUUCUCCUAUUCAUGAGGGUUCCACUCUCAUGACCCAAUCACCUCCCAAAGGCCCCACCUCCUGAUAUCAUCACCUUGGGAAUUAUAAUUUCAAUAUGUUAAUUUGGGGGGUUGGGACAAACAGACUACAACAAAGGUUAAUAACAAAUAAGUGGCAAAGCCAGAAUCUGUGUCUUGGACUGACUCCAGACUCAAAGCUUGUGAUCGGUCACUGGGCAGGUCCAGGGCUGGCAUCAAGGUGACUUAAGGUUAAAUAGAAAAGAGAGACCUGGCUGGGCGCGGUGGCUCAACGCCUGUAAACCCAGCACUUUGGGGGGCUGAGGCGGGCAGAUCACGAGGUUGGAGUUCAAGACCAGCCUGACCAACAUGGUGAAACCCCCAUCUCUACUAAGAAAAUACAAAAAUUAGCCAUGCAUGGUGGUGUGUGCCUGUAAUCCCAGCUACUCAGGAGGCUGAGGCAGGAUAAUCACUUGAUCCCGGGAGGUGGAGGCUGCGGUGAGCCAGGAGCACACCACCGUAAUCCCACCUGGGUGACAGAGUGAGCCUCAUUCUCAAAUAAAUAAAUAAGUAAAAUAUAAAAUAAAAAUAGAGAGACAGGAGAUCUCCCUAUGUUUGUUUCCUAGGCUGGUCUUGAACUCCUUGGCUCACGGGACCCUCCCACUGCAGCCUCCCAAAGGGCUGGCAUUACAGGUGUGAGCCACUGCCUCUGGCCCUGGAUUAUAUAUACACAUAUUGACAAUUUUUUUUUUUUUUUGAGACAGAGUUUCGCUCUUGUUACCCAGGCUGGAGUGCAAUGGCGCGAUCCCGGGUCACCGCAACCUCCACCUCCUGGGUUCAAGCAAUUCUCCUGCCUCAGCCUCCCAAGUAGCUGGGACUACAGGCGUGUGCCACCAUGCCCAGCUAAUUUUUGUAUUUUUAGUAGAGAUGGUGUUUCACCUUGUUGACCCGGAUGGUCUCGAUCUCUUGACCUUGUGAUCCACCCACCUCGGCCUCCCAAAGUGCUGGGAUUAUAGGCAUGAGCCACCGCGCCUGACCCAUAUUGGUUUUUUUUUUUUUUGAGAGAGAGUCUCACUCUGUUGCCCACGCUGAAGUGCAGUGGCACGAUCUCAGCUCAUUGCAACCUCCACCUUUUGGGUUCAAAUGAUUCUUGUGCCUCAGCCACUCGAAAAGCUGGGAUUACAGGCACAUGCCACCAUACUUGGCUAACUUUUGUAUUUUUAGUAGAGACAGUGUUUUACCACAUUGUUCAGGCUGGUCUCAAACUCCUGACCUCAAGUGAUUCUCCUACCUCAGCUUCCUAAAGUGGUGGGAUUACAGGUGUGAGCCACUGUGUCCAGCCUGGAUGAUGUUUUAUAAGGCCAUGAGGAAAGGAGAAGACUUGGGUAGCGAAUGAAAAAAGAGAGCUAUCAGGAGUGGAAAGGAUCAGAGAGUGGAUGAUAGUGUCAUUUUGAAAUCCGAAAGUGCAGGCUGAGUGUAGUAGCUCAUGCCUAUAAUCCUAGCACUUUGAUAGGCCAGAGUGGGAGGAUUACUUGAGCCCAGGAGUUCAAGACCAGUCUGGGCAACACAGCUGAAACCCCCAUCUCUACAAAAAUAACAAAUAAAUAAAGUAGAAGAAAAAAUCUGAAAAUGCAGGUGUAGUGGAUACGCUGGUGUGCUACGUUUCAGGCCUGAGAUACUUACUUCCUCAGCUGCCAGGAGGGUUGCCAGCUAACAACUCUUGAAUGAGUCCCUGUCCAGCAACUGUCUUCAGCCAACAAAACCACUUUACAAAAAAUUGCAUUCCUUUCGUUGGGGCAGCCCAUCUCCAAGGGCUAGUCUAGGAGGAUGCUAUAGUUUGGAUGUGGUUUGUUCCCACGCAAACUCAUGUUGAAGUUUAAUUGCCAGUGUGGCAGUGUUGGAGCUGGGGCCUAGUGUGAGGUGUUGGCUCAUGGUGGUGGACUCAUAGUGAAUAGAUUGGAACAAACUCUUGUUCCUAGGAAACUGGAUUUAUUCUUAUGGGAAUGGAUUAGCUCCUGAGAGAGCAAGUUUCUUUUAUUUAUUUAUUUAUUUUUUUGAGAUGGAGUCUCUGUUGCCCAGUCUGCAGUGCAGUAGCACGAUUUUGGCUUACUGCAACCUCUGCCUCCUGGGUUCAAGCGAUUCUCCUGUCUCAGUCUUCCAAGUAGCUGGGAUUACAGGUGCCUCCUGCCAGGCCCAACUAAUUUUGGUAUUUUUAUUAGAGACAGGGUUUCACCGUGUUGGCCAGGCUGGUCUCAAACUCCUGAUCUUGUGAUCCACCCGCCUCGGCCUCCCACAGUACUGGGAUUACAAGUAUGAGCCACUGCGCCCAGCCGAGAGCAAGUUGUUAUAAAGUGGGUCAGCCUCUUUGAUCCCCUCACUCAGCACACACCUGCUCACCUUUCUGCUUUUCCUCCAUGUUAUGAGACAGCAUGAAACCCUCACUAGCAGCUGAAUAGAUGCUGGCGUCAUGUUCUUAGACUUUCCAGCUAUCAGAAUUGUGAACUAAAUAAAUCUCUUUUCUUAGUAAAUUA